CAGCCGCCGCGGUAACACCGAGGGUGCGAGCGUUAAUCGGAUUUACUGGGCGUAAAGCGUGCGUAGGCGGCUUUUUAAGUCGGAUGUGAAAUCCCUGAGCUUAACUUAGGAAUUGCAUUCGAUACUGGGAAGCUAGAGUAUGGGAGAGGAUGGUAGAAUUCCAGGUGUAGCGGUGAAAUGCGUAGAGAUCUGGAGGAAUACCGAUGGCGAAGGCAGCCAUCUGGCCUAAUACUGACGCUGAGGUACGAAAGCAUGGGGAGCAAACAGGAUUAGAUACCCGUGUAGUCCCUGUCUCUUAUAA
Molecule: ribosomal RNA, 301 nt
Filed under: uncultured bacterium
Lineage: Bacteria
Description: partial 16S ribosomal RNA
Rfam family: Bacterial small subunit ribosomal RNA
Source: RNAcentral